AGUUUGAUCCUGGCUCAGAUUGAACGCUGGCGGAUGCUUUACAUGCAAGUCGAACGGCAGCACGGACUUCGGUCUGGUGGCGAGUGGCGAACGGGUGAGUAAUGUAUCGGAACGUGCUCAGUAGCGGGAUAACUACGAAAGCGUAGCUAAUACUGCAUACGCCCUUCGGGGGAAAGUGGGGACCUUCGGGCCUCGCACUAUUAGAGCAGCCGAUAUCGGAUUAGCUAGUUGUGGGCAACGGCUCACCAAGGUGACGAUCCGUAGCUGGUUUUGAGGAAUGACCAGCCACACUGGGACUGAGACACGGCCUGCAGAGCUCCUACGGGAGGCAGCAGUGGGGGAAUUUUGAUAACAACCCCUGAUCCAGCCAUCCCGCGUGUGCAUAAGGCUCAAGCAAAAAGACCCUUGCAGGAGGCGAAACGGCACGAGCACACCCCGUGCAAAUGACGGUACCUGCAGAAUAAGCACCGUUAACCACGUGCCAGCAGCCGCGGUAAUACGUAGGGUGCAAGCGUUAAUCGGAAUUACUGGGCGUAAAGCGUGCGCAGGCGGUUCGGAAAGAAAGAUGUGAAAUCCCAGAGCUUAACUUUGGAACUACUUUAACUACUGAGCUAGAGUGUGUCAGAGGGAGGUGGACCCGCGUGUGGCAGUGAAAUGCGUAGAUAUGCGGAGGAACACCGAUGGCGAAGGCAGCUCCGGGGAUAACACUGGAUGCUCAUGCACGAGCAGAGCAAACAGGAUUAGAUACCCUGGUAGUCCACGCCCUAAAACGAUGUCAACUAGCUGCUGGGGCCUCUGGCCUGCAGAGGCAAAUUAACGGCAGAAGUUUAACUCACCUGGUGGGGAGUACGGUCGCAAGAUUAAAACUCAAAGGAAUUAUCAGACUCCGCACAAGCGGUGGAUGAUGUGGAUUAAUUCCGAUGCAAAGGCGAAAACCUUACCUACCUGACAUGUCUGGAAUCCCGAAGAGAUUUGGGAGUGCUCGCAAGAGAACCGGAACACAGGUGCUGUAUAUUGCUGUCACCGUGUCGUGAGAUGUUGGUUAAGUCCUGCAACGAGCGCAACCCUUUGCCAGUUGCUACGAAAGGGCACUUCCCAAUGAGACUGCCGGUGACAAACCGGAGGAAGGUGGGGAUGACGUCAAGUCCUCAUGGCCCUUAUGGGUAGGGCUUCACACGUCAUACAAUGGUCGGGACAGAGUGGUCGCCAACUCAUGAGGGGAGCCAAUCCCAGAAACUGAUCGUAGUCCGGAUCGCAGUCCGCAACUCGACUGCGUGAAGUCGGAAUCGCUAGUAAUCGCGGAUCAGCAUGUCGCGGUGAAUACGUUCCUGGUCUUGUACACACUGCCCGUCACACCAUGGGAGUGGGUUUUACCAGAAGUAGUUAGCCUAACCGUAAGGAGGGCGAUUACCAUUUGGUAGGAUUCAUGACUGGGGUGAAGCCGUAACAAGGUAA
RNAcentral lists this ribosomal RNA (1455 nucleotides) under uncultured Bordetella sp. RNAcentral's name for it is "partial 16S-23S ribosomal RNA intergenic spacer". It matches the Rfam family "Bacterial small subunit ribosomal RNA". Lineage: Bacteria; Pseudomonadati; Pseudomonadota; Betaproteobacteria; Burkholderiales; Alcaligenaceae. The record is from RNAcentral.